Molecule: ribosomal RNA, 481 nt
Filed under: uncultured bacterium
Lineage: Bacteria
Description: bacterial SSU rRNA
Rfam family: Bacterial small subunit ribosomal RNA
Source: RNAcentral
GAUGAACGCUAGCGGCAGGCUUAACACAUGCAAGUCGAGGGGUAUAGGGAGCUUGCUUCCUAGAGACCGGCGCACGGGUGCGUAACGCGUAUGCAAUCUACCUUUUGCAGAGGGAUAGCCCAGAGAAAUUUGGAUUAAUACCUCAUAGUAUAGCAGUUUCGCAUGAAACCACUAUUAAAGUCACAACGGCAAAAGAUGAGCAUGCGUCCCAUUAGCUUGUUGGUAAGGUAACGGCUUACCAAGGCAACGAUGGGUAGGGGUCCUGAGAGGGAGAUCCCCCACACUGGUACUGAGACACGGACCAGACUCCUACGGGAGGCAGCAGUGAGGAAUAUUGGACAAUGGGCGCAAGCCUGAUCCAGCCAUGCCGCGUGCAGGAUGACGGUCCUAUGGAUUGUAAACUGCUUUUGACGAGAAGAAACAACAUUACGUGUAAUGUCUUGACGGUAUCGUAAGAAUAAGGAUCGGCUAACUCCGUGCC